GACGAACGCUGGCGGCGUGCUUAACACAUGCAAGUCGAACGGAAAGGCCCUGCUUUUGUGGGGUGCUCGAGUGGCGAACGGGUGAGUAACACGUGAGUAACCUGCCCUUGACUUUGGGAUAACUUCAGGAAACUGGGGCUAAUACCGGAUAGGAGCUCCUGCUGCAUGGUGGGGGUUGGAAAGUUUCGGCGGUUGUGGAUGGACUCGCGGCUUAUCAGCUUGUUUGUGGGGUAGUGGCUUACCAAGGCUUUGACGGGUAGCCGGCCUGAGAGGGUGAACGGCCACAUUGGGACUGAGAUACGGCGCAGACUCCUACGGGAGGCAGCAGUGGGGAAUAUUGCACAAUGGGCGGAAGCCAGAUGCAACAACGCCGCGUGCGGGAUGACGGCCUUCGGGUUGUAAACCGCUUUCGACUGUGACGAAGCGUGAGUGACGGUAAUGGGUAAAGAAGCACCGGCUAACUACGUG
RNAcentral lists this ribosomal RNA (468 nucleotides) under uncultured bacterium. Its description in RNAcentral is "partial 16S ribosomal RNA". It matches the Rfam family "Bacterial small subunit ribosomal RNA", at positions 28 to 507 of the family's 1533-position model. The record is from RNAcentral.